GCCGGUAUGAUGGAAUUGGUAGACGUAGUGGACUCAAAAUCCACCGCUGGCGACAGCGUGCCGGUUCGACUCCGGCUACCGGCACCA
Molecule: transfer RNA, 87 nt
Filed under: Oscillospiraceae bacterium
Lineage: Bacteria; Bacillati; Bacillota; Clostridia; Eubacteriales; Oscillospiraceae
Description: tRNA-Leu
Rfam family: tRNA
About the family: Transfer RNA (tRNA) molecules are approximately 80 nucleotides in length. Their secondary structure includes four short double-helical elements and three loops (D, anti-codon, and T loops). Further hydrogen bonds mediate the characteristic L-shaped molecular structure. tRNAs have two regions of fundamental functional importance: the anti-codon, which is responsible for specific mRNA codon recognition, and the 3' end, to which the tRNAs corresponding amino acid is attached (by aminoacyl-tRNA synthetases). tRNAs cope with the degeneracy of the genetic code in two manners: having more than one tRNA (with a specific anti-codon) for a particular amino acid; and 'wobble' base-pairing, i.e. permitting non-standard base-pairing at the 3rd anti-codon position.
Source: RNAcentral